UACCCCACCUAUAUAUAUAACUGGCCUAUCUUUCAAAAAAGGGACUAAUCAAAUCCAUGAAGCCUACGACAUCGGCUGAAGUUCGGUUGUGUGUUGUGAUGAAGGAAGCAGAGUGACAAGUUAAGACGCGUUCAAUUAUAAUUUUUAGUGAAUUGUGACGCUAAUACGAUUGUUCGUUUUCUGGGAUAGCUUCAAUUCGAACAAACUUUGUGCGGAUGAAUGAAAAUUGCCUCAUUGUAUCCGAUCCAAGCCAUUGCUAUCGCUAUCGUAGCAGUAGAAAAAUCUUCAACACAGUGAACAUCGAAGGGGUCGAACAAGCGCUUGGGAAAGUGAAGCGGCGGAGGUGGCGACACUGUGAAAGUUGCGAGCGCGGGAAUUAAUGCCUGCUUUGAAAACUGUCGUCAAAACGUAACCAAAACAUCGUCAAAUCGCUCGAAGUGGAAAGAAGUCAGUCGCCGAAACGGAAUAAACAAUAACAAUUCGGAACGAAGCAUUAGCUUUUUUAACUUUUGGCAAACGUUCCAAAACGUAAAAAAGGCAAUUGUUCCGCGAAUUGAGGAAAACUGAAGUACUACCAAAAUGCCCCGAUUGAAGAAAAAAGAAGUGUCUUCGUCGUCGCCUGAUGCUGGGUUAACGCUUACGGCGGGCCGGUCUCGUCGUACAAUUAAACCAAACCGCAAAUAUCUUAACGAUAGUGUAGUAUUGGCCACCACCUCGAAAGGUUCGUCCCGCUCCAGCAGUCCGGAUAGCGAUGCUAGCGGAGAUGAGUACAGACAGGAAGAGGAGGAGGAUGAUGAGGUGGUGCCGCGAUCGGCAGCCGGAAGAAAAAGUUUGUCUGCGAAUCCAGCGGUAGCUAGAAAGGGUCCCGCAAGCGCCACGCCUGGCGCAAAACCCCGUGGGCGGCCGCCAAAGUAUGGCACUCCGAGAACGGAACCCGUAAAAAACUUACGGAAGGAAGUUUUGAAAAAGAUGGAUUUGACUACACUCAAUUUGGGCAAAGCUCGGGUGCUGCUAACGCCAAUCAACAAACAGGUUAUCAAGCGGAAGCUGGAGUUGGAGGAGUUACCGGAUAAAGACGAACCACUUCCAACCAGAAGUAAGGAAGCAGAACGGACGAAGGCACGGGAGCCUGAGAAACAAAAGGCGAAAAUACCGGUUAAACCAAGUGAACCUGAAAAAUUACAAAAGGUGAAAAUACCGGUAAAACAAAGUGAACACGAAAGACCACAAAAGCCGAAGGUACUGGUAAAGCAGAGCGAGCCCGAGAAACCACAAAAGGCAAAUAUACCGGUAAAACAAAAUGAGCCCGAGAAACCACAAAGGGCAAAGAUACCGGUAAAACAAAAUGAGCCCGAAAAACCACAAAAGGCAAUCCCAAGAGAUGACAAAGCACCUGCAGUCCGAAAAGUACAACCGGUAGCUCCCGCCCCGAAGAAAGGUUCUCCAGUUCAGGCUAAAGUCAUCAAUCCCGUGGCGGUCAAGAAACAAAUGGUGGAAAAGUCGAUUCUGGAUAAACGGUUCAAAAAUGCCGAAAAAACAACGCCUUCGUAUGAAGAUGAGACUGAUGAAGACGAUGAUGAUAAUGACUUUGAUAACAUCGACGAUGAUGAUUAUGUUGAUGAUUACGAGGAAGAUGAAGAAGAAGAUGAUGAGGACGAAGAUGACGAAGUUCAAAUCGUUGGAUUCAGCAGGGGUUCGUCGCAAAAUAAGAAAACCACGCGGAAAAGUCCCAUGGUGACGAAACCGAUUGCAGCCGGAAAUGAAACGAUAGUGAAGCCGUACGUGAGGACAGUAACUCCUUCAGCGAUUGGAAGCGGGCUAAAAAGGAAAGCUAUCGAAAUGGAAGCGGGAGAAGUAUCUCAACAAGUAACGAAACGACCCCGAGGCAGGCCUCCGAGGAUUGUUAAACCGUCAAUUUCACUAGAAUCCGAGGGCGAACAUAAUUCCACUUUGGAUUCCGAUUCUGAACCUCUUCUUCGAACCAGCCGUACAAGAUUCUCCUCGGACAAAGGAUCUGCCACAUCAUCUCCUCAAAAUGUGACGAAUGCUGAUAAAUCUAUGAGCUCUUCAAAAACUACAAAAGAAUCCGAGAUAAACAGAAGUAAUCUAACGAAGGCACACAGUUUGCCAGCAUUGGACAAAACAAGAAUCGUCGGAAAAACAUUUGGUCUGAAGUCACCUCUAAUUUCAUCCGUUGGUAGGCCGAUUUUGCCGAAACCAGCUGCCCAAUCGACUCCCAAGCCUCAUCACGGUGGCUCUCCGGUCGAGAAAAAAAGCAAAUCGGAACAGAAUCUUCUUGAUCCGUUUUGUUCGCCCGAGCGCGACUUGAAGAAAACGGAAUCUAACAAACCGAAAACGGCAACAAUAAGAAUUGUUGACAUAGGCGAUAUAAUGAACAAAAAGUCCAUCAGUUCACCGGAUGUUCGCAAGGUUGGAGCCAGGAAAAGCAUGCCAAAAUCGGAUACGGAUGAGGACGAGGAGGAUUCAGAUGAUUUUUCAAGCCCACCACAAAAGGCAAACUCAGCGGAGAAGCCAAAGACUAACAACCAGCUGGUGGCAUCGAUUUUGGAACGGAAGCGACCGAUCAAUUUGGAUCACUUGCGAGCGAAUCGACCGGUCAAGCGAGGUCGACCUCCAAACGUCACCCGGAAUCAACCUGCAGCGGAAAGAGCAUCUCAGAAACCAACCCGACCGUUGGUUGCUAAUGUUGCGGGGGAAGAGGAAAUUGAUUUUGAGGACAUGCUACAAACCAACAUAGUUACAGCAAACAAAGUUCAAAAAGUAAACACACCAGGCAGCAUGCGAGAUCGUCGAAGGCCUUCGCAACAUGAUGAGAACACCAUGAAAUCAGCCUCGGGAAAUAGAACAGUGCCAUCGAACAAAAGUUCUGGUGUGAAAACGCUCGCUUCCAGCAACAACAACAAUUAUGUGUACAAAUCCAACAACAACGGUCGGUUUGGAUCGCAAGGCGCUCUCAAUCGAUCCGGUUCCACAAGUCCCCAGAAGAACCCACCCCGAAUUCUCAACUCGACGAUGAAACUGGGAGAUAAUCGACAAUUUGCCAAGCUGGUUCCCAAUAGCGACAACAAGCACUACUCGAUCGAUCUGACGGAUCCGGAUAACAACGUGAAGCUGAUAGCAUCGCCCGAUUCACCUCCUUCUUCUCCCCUCAAACGAUCUCCGAUAAAAAGCAUUUCGCGACCGAUUGUGAGCUCGACCGGGUUGCGGAAUGCUUCCAAUGCACUAAACAAGCCCGUUGGUGGUGCAGUUCAGCGAUCAAUUUCGUCGCUCACCAGUUCUGCUGGUAGCAGCCCCAAAAUGAAGAAAAUUACCUGUUAUGAAACCUGGUACGUCAUCAACAUCCCGAACAAUGAGAAUAAACCGGAGCGACCGUCUUUCGAGAUGACGAUGAUCGGACUGGGCAACGAGGCAUCCAAAAUUCAGCUUCCCUCGGCGGAGUGGUCCCACAAAAUAAUUCUCACGAAGCGGAAACUUCCACCGAACGAGGGUGAGGAAGUUUUCAGUGGGGAAGUGGAAGACCGGGCGAUCACCGAUGAGGAAAAGCGUAACUACGAACCAUGCAAUAUCAUGUUCCGCCGGAAGACGGCCACACCGGGCAAAUUCAAUCUGCAGUACGAUCGGGCGGUCAUUUUCAAGAACGACACCUUCUUCAUAAAUGUCGAUGGCAAGAAUUGUCAACUCGUGGGAGCACCCACAAAGCUCGAUGGAACCGAAGAUAUCGAGACGCUGCUGGCCGUGGUGGACUUUGUUAAUUUGAAAAAUACCUGUGUCGAGUUGUCGGCUGCCUAGAAUAAUGGAUAGGUUAAUCGCGACGACGAUAUCCGAACAGGGUCUGUAAAUAGCCUUCACUAAACAUACCAUCUAACAAGAGCACAGAGAAAAUAAACCGAAGUGGUUUAUCAUGUCUAUAAGAAGAGUGGUUUAUGAUCGAAAGUGUAUCCGUUCAGAGGAUGCCGUGAACUGGAAUGGAACACCGGAAAUUUGACUGGAUGGAACACCGGAAAUUUAACAGAUUUUUUGUUUUGGAAAAAAAAACUUAUUAAUUUAGGAUUAGUGUGUUGUGUUUUUGCUGAAAAUGUUUUAAGUUUCCAAACUUAACUCGUGAAUUUGUAGUAUGUAAAUAGAAGCACUCAAUUUCAACAGACCUAUGAUUAAUAAACAUAUUCUGGAUGCUGGAUUUUGAAGAUUAUCGACAUUAUAGCACAAGCAUCAACUGAUAAUGAUUACUGAUAAAUAAUUUGUAAUAACAUACUAAACUUUAUUCAGUUACAAUAAAAAUAAAAACAAUAGAUGA
Molecule: RNA transcript, 4315 nt
Organism: Toxorhynchites rutilus septentrionalis
Lineage: Eukaryota; Metazoa; Arthropoda; Insecta; Diptera; Culicidae
Exons: 5
Source: RefSeq, a predicted model, not a curated record